GAUGAACGCUGGCGGCGUGCCUAAUACAUGCAAGUCGAGCGAACAGACGAGGAGCUUGCUCCUCUGACGUUAGCGGCGGACGGGUGAGUAACACGUGGAUAACCUACCUAUAAGACUGGGAUAACUUCGGGAAACCGGAGCUAAUACCGGAUAAUAUAUUGAACCGCAUGGUUCAAUAGUGAAAGACGGUUUUGCUGUCACUUAUAGAUGGAUCCGCGCCGCAUUAGCUAGUUGGUAAGGUAACGGCUUACCAAGGCAACGAUGCGUAGCCGACCUGAGAGGGUGAUCGGCCACACUGGAACUGAGACACGGUCCAGACUCCUACGGGAGGCAGCAGUAGGGAAUCUUCCGCAAUGGGCGAAAGCCUGACGGAGCAACGCCGCGUGAGUGAUGAAGGUCUUCGGAUCGUAAAACUCUGUUAUUAGGGAAGAACAAAUGUGUAAGUAACUAUGCACGACUUGACGGUACCUAAUCAGAAAGCCACGGCUAACUACGUG
Molecule: ribosomal RNA, 497 nt
Filed under: uncultured bacterium
Lineage: Bacteria
Description: partial 16S ribosomal RNA
Rfam family: Bacterial small subunit ribosomal RNA
Source: RNAcentral